This 75-nucleotide transfer RNA is filed under the name Candidatus Caldarchaeum subterraneum. RNAcentral describes it as "tRNA-Arg (CCT) (tRNA-Arg-CCT-1-1)". It matches the Rfam family "tRNA". Rfam says of the family: Transfer RNA (tRNA) molecules are approximately 80 nucleotides in length. Lineage: Archaea; Thermoproteati; Nitrososphaerota; Candidatus Caldarchaeales; Candidatus Caldarchaeaceae. The record is from RNAcentral. RNAcentral also lists the same sequence under 1 other name.
GGGCCCGUGGCGCAGAAUGGAUAGCGCGGCGGCCUCCUAAGCCGUAGGUCGUGGGUUCAAGUCCCACCGGGCCCG